CAGGUAUUCCCUGCUCUUACUCCAAAAAGAUGGACCCAGGUCCGAAGGGGCACUGCCACUGUGGGGGGCAUGGCCAUCCUCCAGGUCACUGCGGGCCACCCCCUGGCCAUGGCCCAGGGCCCUGCGGGCCACCCCCCCACCAUGGUCCAGGGCCCUGCGGGCCACCCCCUGGCCAUGGCCCAGGGCCCUGCGGGCCACCCCCCCACCAUGGUCCAGGGCCCUGCGGGCCUCCCCCUGGCCAUGGCCCAGGUCACCCACCCCCUGGUCCACAUCACUGAGGAAGUAGAAGAAAACAGGACACAAGAUGGCAAGCCUGAGAGAAUUGCCCAGCUGACCUGGAAUGAGGCCUAAACCACAAUCUUCUCUUCCUAAUAAACAGCCUCCUAGAGGCCACAUUCUAUUCU
RNAcentral lists this long non-coding RNA (404 nucleotides) under Homo sapiens (human). RNAcentral's name for it is "long non-coding RNA NONHSAT170688.1". The record is from RNAcentral. Lineage: Eukaryota; Metazoa; Chordata; Mammalia; Primates; Hominidae.